CCUACGGGGGGCAGCAGUCGAGGAUUUUUCUCAAUGGGGGAAACCCUGAAGGAGCGACGCCGCGUGAGGGAUGAAGGUCUUCGGAUUGUAAACCUCUGUCAUCUGGGAUCUAGUACCAGAAGAGGAAGCAGUGGCUAACUCUGUGCCAGCAGCCGCGGUAAUACAGAGACUGCAAGCGUUGUUCGGAUUCAUUGGGCGUAAAGGGUGCGCAGGCGGUGUGCUAAGUCGGAUGUGAAAUCUCACAGCCUAACUGUGAUAGGUCAUUCGAAACUGGCAUGCUAGAGGAUUGGAGAGGAGACUGGAAUAGUUGGUGUAGCAGUGAAAUGCGUAGAGAUCAACUAGAACACCGGUGGCGAAGGCGAGUCUCUGGACAUCCUGACGCUCAGGCACGAAAGCCAGGGGAGCAAACGGGAUUAGAUACCCUUGUAGUC
Molecule: ribosomal RNA, 431 nt
Filed under: uncultured bacterium
Lineage: Bacteria
Description: partial 16S ribosomal RNA
Rfam family: Bacterial small subunit ribosomal RNA
Source: RNAcentral